UACGGAGGGUGCGAGCGUUGUUCGGAUAUACUGGGCGUAAAGCGCACGUAGGCGGCGUCGUAAGUCAGGGGUGAAAUCCCGGAGCUCAACUCCGGAACUGCCCUUGAAACUGCAAUGCUAGAAUCUUGGAGAGGCGAGUGGAAUUCCGAGUGUAGAGGUGAAAUUCGUAGAUAUUCGGAAGAACACCAGUGGCGAAGGCGACUCGCUGGACAAGUAUUGACGCUGAGGUGCGAAAGCGUGGGGAGCAAACAGG
RNAcentral lists this ribosomal RNA (253 nucleotides) under uncultured bacterium. RNAcentral describes it as "partial 16S ribosomal RNA". It matches the Rfam family "Bacterial small subunit ribosomal RNA", at positions 524 to 776 of the family's 1533-position model. The record is from RNAcentral.